UAAGCGUGUGGUGAAAUUUGAGGCUCAACCUCAAACUGCUACACGAACUGACGAACUAGAGUAUAUGAGGGGAGCUUGGAAUUUCUAGUGUAGGAGUGGAAUCCGUAGAUAUUAGAAGGAACACCAAUGGCGUAGGCAGAGUUCUGGCAUAUUACUGACGCUAAGGCACGAAAGCGUGGGGAGCAAACAGGCUUAGAUACCCUGGUAGUCCACGCUGUAAACGAUGGAUGCUA
This 233-nucleotide ribosomal RNA is filed under the name uncultured Candidatus Saccharibacteria bacterium. RNAcentral describes it as "partial 16S ribosomal RNA". It matches the Rfam family "Bacterial small subunit ribosomal RNA", at positions 584 to 818 of the family's 1533-position model. Lineage: Bacteria; Candidatus Saccharimonadota. The record is from RNAcentral.